UCAUAUGCUUGUCUCAAAGGCUAAGCCAUGCACGUGUAAGCACAGGCCUCCACACGGUGAAGCUGCGAAUGGCUCAUUAGAUCGGCUACAAUUUAUUAGAUCAUACACGGUUACUUGGAUAACUGUGGUAAUUCUAGAGCUAAUACAUGCAACGAGUGCCCCGACCUGCCUGGCAGGGAGGGGCGAGUUUAUUAGAUCAAAACCAACCGGCCCGCGAGGGCCGAGCCCGUUGGUGACUCAGGAUAACUUUGGUCUGAUCGCACGGCCCUGGCGCCGGCGACGUAUCUUUCAAGUGUCCGCCCUAUCAAGUUCCGUAUGUAGGUGCCCUGCCUACAUAGCUGGCGACGGGUGACGGGGAAUCAGGGUUCGAUUCCGGAGAGGGAGCCUGAGANACGGCUACCACAUCCAAGGAAGGCAGCAGGCAUGCAAAUUACCCACUCCUGNCACGGGGAGGUAGUGA
This 460-nucleotide ribosomal RNA is filed under the name Themiste lageniformis. RNAcentral's name for it is "SSU rRNA". It matches the Rfam family "Eukaryotic small subunit ribosomal RNA", at positions 24 to 470 of the family's 1831-position model. Lineage: Eukaryota; Metazoa; Annelida; Sipuncula; Golfingiida; Themistidae. The record is from RNAcentral.